AACGAACGCUGGCGGCAUGCCUAACACAUGCAAGUCGAACGAGACCUUCGGGUCUAGUGGCGCGCGGGUGCGUAACGCGUGGGAAUCUGCCCUUGGGUUCGGAAUAACAGUUGGAAACGACUGCUAAUACCGGAUGAUGACGUAAGUCCAAAGAUUUAUCGCCCAAGGAUGAGCCCGCGUAGGAUUAGCUAGUUGGUGAGGUAAAGGCUCACCAAGGCAACGAUCCUUAGCUGGUCUGAGAGGAUGAUCAGCCACACUGGGACUGAGACACGGCCCAGACUCCUACGGGAGGCAGCAGUGGGGAAUAUUGGACAAUGGGCGAAAGCCUGAUCCAGCAAUGCCGCGUGAGUGAUGAAGGCCUUAGGGUUGUAAAGCUCUUUUACCCGGGAUGAUAAUGACAGUACCGGGAGAAUAAGCUCCGGCUAACUCCGUG
RNAcentral lists this ribosomal RNA (433 nucleotides) under uncultured bacterium. Its description in RNAcentral is "partial 16S ribosomal RNA". It matches the Rfam family "Bacterial small subunit ribosomal RNA", at positions 29 to 507 of the family's 1533-position model. The record is from RNAcentral.